CGCCCUCUUAUUCCUCAUGUGAGAAAUAUUUUUAUAUAAUUUUUCUCAUAUCCAAAAGCUUUUUCUAUGUCUUUAUCUAAUUUUUUUAAAUUAAAAAUUAGUUAGUUUAAAUUUGAGUUCAAAUGGAUUUGAAUUUGAAUGAAAUUCUAGAAUUCAAAUUGAGUUGGACUCUCCUCUUCAUGCCACUACCUUUCUCCAUGCAUAAAGUAUUUUUGUGCAAGAUUUUUUACACCAUUCUA
Molecule: long non-coding RNA, 239 nt
Filed under: Elaeis guineensis (African oil palm)
Lineage: Eukaryota; Viridiplantae; Streptophyta; Magnoliopsida; Arecales; Arecaceae
Description: long non-coding RNA (EGUI_LNC074133)
Source: RNAcentral